UACGUAGGGGGCAAGCGUUGUCCGGAUUUAUUGGGCGUAAAGAGCGUGUAGGCGGCUAUACAGGUCCGCUGUGAAAACUCGAGGCUCAACCUCGAGAUGUCGGCGGAAACCACUUGGCUAGAGUCCGGAAGAGGAGAGUGGAAUUCCCGGUGUAGCGGUGAAAUGCGCAGAUAUCGGGAAGAACACCUAUGGCGAAGGCAGCUCUCUGGGACGGUACUGACGCUGAGGAGCGAAAGCGUGGGUAGCAAACAGG
RNAcentral lists this ribosomal RNA (253 nucleotides) under uncultured bacterium. Its description in RNAcentral is "partial 16S ribosomal RNA". It matches the Rfam family "Bacterial small subunit ribosomal RNA", at positions 524 to 776 of the family's 1533-position model. The record is from RNAcentral.